CUGUGCUGCUCCAAAGUGCGCUAUAUAAGGUCAUUCCUACCCUUGGACAUUGGGGUCUAUAAUGAGUCAACCUAAAUCUGGGGAAGUGAUGACCCUCUUCUGUUGGACCGUUUGAGCAAUAAGAAGAGAUUACAUCCUGUGUGAUGGGAGCCCUUAAUGAUGGGUGCUGCCGUUUUGAUACAUCGCCUUUUGAAGAUGUCCAUGAUGUUGGGGAGGAAAGGAAGAUGUGGUGAUAUCACGUGCAAUGAUGUGCCAGUACAUGAUUGGACAGAGCACUGAGCAUGUCCGGGAUUGCCAGAAUGUCCCAGCACGUGGC
This is a long non-coding RNA of Mobula hypostoma (lesser devil ray), 316 nucleotides long. RefSeq lists it as uncharacterized. NCBI's taxonomy places the organism in Eukaryota, Metazoa, Chordata, Chondrichthyes, Myliobatiformes, Myliobatidae. The record is from RefSeq and is a predicted model, not a curated record. The transcript has 3 exons.